UAAGGAAUAUUGGUCAAUGGAGGCAACUCUGAACCAGCCAUGCCGCGUGCAGGAAGAAGGCCCUAUGGGUCGUAAACUGCUUUUGAACAAGAGAAAACCCCGGUACGUGUACUGGGUUGAUAGUAUUGUUAGAAUAAGCAUCGGCUAACUUCGUGCCAGCAGCCGCGGUAAGACGAAGGAUGCAAGCGUUAUCCGGAUUCAUUGGGUUUAAAGGGUGCGUAGGCGGACUGAUAAGUCAGUGGUGAAAUCUCUCGGCUUAACCGAGAAACUGCCAUUGAUACUGUUAGUCUAGAGUACAGAUGAUGUGGGCGGAAUAUGACAUGUAGUGGUGAAAUACUUAGAUAUGUCAUAGAACACCGAUUGCGAAGGCAGCUCACAAAACUGUAACUGACGCUGAGGCACGAAAGUGCGGGGAUCAAACAGGAUUAGAUACCCGAGUAGUCCCUGAGCGGGCUGGCAAGGCGCAU
This 467-nucleotide ribosomal RNA is filed under the name uncultured bacterium. RNAcentral describes it as "bacterial SSU rRNA". It matches the Rfam family "Bacterial small subunit ribosomal RNA", at positions 355 to 825 of the family's 1533-position model. The record is from RNAcentral.